UUUUAAGAACCCAUUUUAUCUUUUAUUUCUAGUGUUUUUCAAAAAAGAAGCAGAGUGCUUCUUCUUCCCUGCUCCCUCUCCAUUUUUGCUAGGGAUUCAACCUAGCUUGCGCCACCCUGGAGGAUCAUCGGUGCCACGCACCUCCACCCCAUCGCCGGUUCACGGAUCAAGACCGGGUGUUGUUGCGGAUAUCUCGGAAGCAUGAGGCGCGCCAAAAAGGGACUGCUGGUAGCGCACGUUUCGGAGGUACGGUGGAUGGUGGAAGCACGUACGAUGUGGGGAUUGGGGUAUUGAGGGAAAUUUUGUUUUGGUUUUGGGCUGUUUUGGGUUAUAGGAUUGGGCUAGUGGUUAAUGGGUUUGAUUAGUGGGCUAGGCAAAGAAAAUUGGUCCAACAAAGGGAUUUGACUAACUCAAUGAGGAAUUUCAAAAUAAUGAUAUCCAAGUUUUUAGUAGAAUUAAUUAUAUGUUUUAUUUGAACUUUCUAUAACUAUUUUCCACUUGUAACAACAACAUUUAUAGUUACAAAGUACAUUAUUAAAUUAGUUAUAAA
Molecule: long non-coding RNA, 550 nt
Organism: Gossypium arboreum
Lineage: Eukaryota; Viridiplantae; Streptophyta; Magnoliopsida; Malvales; Malvaceae
Exons: 2
Source: RefSeq, a predicted model, not a curated record